GGGUUGUGAGGUUAAGCGACUAAGCGUACACGGUGGAUGCCCUGGCAGUCAGAGGCGAUGAAGGACGUGCUAAUCUGCGAUAAGCGUCGGUAAGGUGAUAUGAACCGUUAUAACCGGCGAUUUCCGAAUGGGGAAACCCAGUGUGUUUCGACACACUAUCAUUAACUGAAUCCAUAGGUUAAUGAGGCGAACCGGGGGAACUGAAACAUCUAAGUACCCCGAGGAAAAGAAAUCAACCGAGAUUCCCCCAGUAGCGGCGAGCGAACGGGGAGCAGCCCAGAGCCUGAAUCAGUGUGUGUGUUAGUGGAAGCGUCUGGAAAGGCGCGCGAUACAGGGUGACAGCCCCGUACACAAAAAUGCACAUGCUGUGAGCUCGAUGAGUAGGGCGGGACACGUGGUAUCCUGUCUGAAUAUGGGGGGACCAUCCUCCAAGGCUAAAUACUCCUGACUGACCGAUAGUGAACCAGUACCGUGAGGGAAAGGCGAAAAGAACCCCGGCGAGGGGAGUGAAAAAGAACCUGAAACCGUGUACGUACAAGCAGUGGGAGCACGCUUAGGCGUGUGACUGCGUACCUUUUGUAUAAUGGGUCAGCGACUUAUAUUCUGUAGCAAGGUUAACCGAAUAGGGGAGCCGAAGGGAAACCGAGUCUUAACUGGGCGUUAAGUUGCAGGGUAUAGACCCGAAACCCGGUGAUCUAGCCAUGGGCAGGUUGAAGGUUGGGUAACACUAACUGGAGGACCGAACCGACUAAUGUUGAAAAAUUAGCGGAUGACUUGUGGCUGGGGGUGAAAGGCCAAUCAAACCGGGAGAUAGCUGGUUCUCCCCGAAAGCUAUUUAGGUAGCGCCUCGUGAAUUCAUCUCCGGGGGUAGAGCACUGUUUCGGCAAGGGGGUCAUCCCGACUUACCAACCCGAUGCAAACUGCGAAUACCGGAGAAUGUUAUCACGGGAGACACACGGCGGGUGCUAACGUCCGUCGUGAAGAGGGAAACAACCCAGACCGCCAGCUAAGGUCCCAAAGUCAUGGUUAAGUGGGAAACGAUGUGGGAAGGCCCAGACAGCCAGGAUGUUGGCUUAGAAGCAGCCAUCAUUUAAAGAAAGCGUAAUAGCUCACUGGUCGAGUCGGCCUGCGCGGAAGAUGUAACGGGGCUAAACCAUGCACCGAAGCUGCGGCAGCGACGCUGAUGCGUUGUUGGGUAGGGGAGCGUUCUGUAAGCCUGCGAAGGUGUGCUGUGAGGCAUGCUGGAGGUAUCAGAAGUGCGAAUGCUGACAUAAGUAACGAUAAAGCGGGUGAAAAGCCCGCUCGCCGGAAGACCAAGGGUUCCUGUCCAACGUUAAUCGGGGCAGGGUGAGUCGACCCCUAAGGCGAGGCCGAAAGGCGUAGUCGAUGGGAAACAGGUUAAUAUUCCUGUACUUGGUGUUACUGCGAAGGGGGGACGGAGAAGGCUAUGUUGGCCGGGCGACGGUUGUCCCGGUUUAAGCGUGUAGGCUGGUUUUCCAGGCAAAUCCGGAAAAUCAAGGCUGAGGCGUGAUGACGAGGCACUACGGUGCUGAAGCAACAAAUGCCCUGCUUCCAGGAAAAGCCUCUAAGCAUCAGGUAACAUCAAAUCGUACCCCAAACCGACACAGGUGGUCAGGUAGAGAAUACCAAGGCGCUUGAGAGAACUCGGGUGAAGGAACUAGGCAAAAUGGUGCCGUAACUUCGGGAGAAGGCACGCUGAUAUGUAGGUGAAGUCCCUCGCGGAUGGAGCUGAAAUCAGUCGAAGAUACCAGCUGGCUGCAACUGUUUAUUAAAAACACAGCACUGUGCAAACACGAAAGUGGACGUAUACGGUGUGACGCCUGCCCGGUGCCGGAAGGUUAAUUGAUGGGGUUAGCCGCAAGGCGAAGCUCUUGAUCGAAGCCCCGGUAAACGGCGGCCGUAACUAUAACGGUCCUAAGGUAGCGAAAUUCCUUGUCGGGUAAGUUCCGACCUGCACGAAUGGCGUAAUGAUGGCCAGGCUGUCUCCACCCGAGACUCAGUGAAAUUGAACUCGCUGUGAAGAUGCAGUGUACCCGCGGCAAGACGGAAAGACCCCGUGAACCUUUACUAUAGCUUGACACUGAACAUUGAGCCUUGAUGUGUAGGAUAGGUGGGAGGCUUAGAAGUGUGGACGCCAGUCUGCAUGGAGCCGACCUUGAAAUACCACCCUUUAAUGUUUGAUGUUCUAACGUUGACCCGUAAUCCGGGUUGCGGACAGUGUCUGGUGGGUAGUUUGACUGGGGCGGUCUCCUCCUAAAGAGUAACGGAGGAGCACGAAGGUUGGCUAAUCCUGGUCGGACAUCAGGAGGUUAGUGCAAUGGCAUAAGCCAGCUUGACUGCGAGCGUGACGGCGCGAGCAGGUGCGAAAGCAGGUCAUAGUGAUCCGGUGGUUCUGAAUGGAAGGGCCAUCGCUCAACGGAUAAAAGGUACUCCGGGGAUAACAGGCUGAUACCGCCCAAGAGUUCAUAUCGACGGCGGUGUUUGGCACCUCGAUGUCGGCUCAUCACAUCCUGGGGCUGAAGUAGGUCCCAAGGGUAUGGCUGUUCGCCAUUUAAAGUGGUACGCGAGCUGGGUUUAGAACGUCGUGAGACAGUUCGGUCCCUAUCUGCCGUGGGCGCUGGAGAACUGAGGGGGGCUGCUCCUAGUACGAGAGGACCGGAGUGGACGCAUCACUGGUGUUCGGGUUGUCAUGCCAAUGGCACUGCCCGGUAGCUAAAUGCGGAAGAGAUAAGUGCUGAAAGCAUCUAAGCACGAAACUUGCCCCGAGAUGAGUUCUCCCUGAC
This 2804-nucleotide ribosomal RNA is filed under the name Escherichia coli. RNAcentral's name for it is "bacterial LSU rRNA". It matches the Rfam family "Bacterial large subunit ribosomal RNA". The record is from RNAcentral. Lineage: Bacteria; Pseudomonadati; Pseudomonadota; Gammaproteobacteria; Enterobacterales; Enterobacteriaceae.